Molecule: ribosomal RNA, 610 nt
Filed under: uncultured bacterium
Lineage: Bacteria
Description: bacterial SSU rRNA
Rfam family: Bacterial small subunit ribosomal RNA
Source: RNAcentral
GAGUUUGAUCCUGGCUCAAGAUGAACGCUGGCGGCGUGCUUAACACAUGCAAGUCGAACGAGAAUCAGUGGAACAAGGAUUCGUCUGAAGGAAGCUGAAGAAAGUGGCGGACGGGUGAGUAACGCGUGAGCAAUCUGCCUUGGAGUGGGGAAUAACGGCUGGAAACAGCCGCUAAUACCGCAUGAUGCAUCUGAGUCGCAUGGUUUGGAUGCCAAAGAUUUAUCGCUCUGAGAUGAGCUCGCGUCUGAUUAGCUAGUUGGCGGGGUAACGGCCCACCAAGGCGACGAUCAGUAGCCGGACUGAGAGGUUGGCCGGCCACAUUGGGACUGAGACACGGCCCAGACUCCUACGGGAGGCAGCAGUGGGGAAUAUUGGGCAAUGGGCGAAAGCCUGACCCAGCAACGCCGCGUGAAGGAAGAAAGCUUUCGGGUUGUAAACUUCUUUUGACAGGGAAGAGCAGAAGACGGUACCUGUCGAAUAAGCCACGGCUAACUACGUGCCAGCAGCCGCGGUAAUACGUAGGUGGCAAGCGUUGUCCAGAUUUACUGGGUGUNAAAGGCGUGUAACCGGGCUGACAAGUCAAUGUGAAAUCCGGGGGCUCAACCCCGAA